CUCUGUUUCAAUAGAUUCAGGGCAAAAAGGAG
Molecule: non-coding RNA, 32 nt
Filed under: Oceanobacillus manasiensis
Lineage: Bacteria; Bacillati; Bacillota; Bacilli; Caryophanales; Bacillaceae
Description: L31-Firmicutes ribosomal protein leader
Rfam family: L31-Firmicutes ribosomal protein leader
Source: RNAcentral